GCCUAAUACAUGCAAGUCGAGCGAACAGACGAGGAGCUUGCUCCUCUGACGUUAGCGGCGGACGGGUGAGUAACACGUGGAUAACCUACCUAUAAGACUGGGAUAACUUCGGGAAACCGGAGCUAAUACCGGAUAAUAUAUUGAACCGCAUGGUUCAAUAGUGAAAAACGGUUUUGCUGUCACUUAUAGAUGGAUCCGCGCCGCAUUAGCUAGUUGGUAAGGUAACGGCUUACCAAGGCAACGAUGCGUAGCCGACCUGAGAGGGUGAUCGGCCACACUGGAACUGAGACACGGUCCAGACUCCUACGGGAGGCAGCAGUAGGGAAUCUUCCGCAAUGGGCGAAAGCCUGACGGAGCAACGUCGCGUGAGUGAUGAAGGUCUUCGGAUCGUAAAACUCUGUUAUUAGGGAAGAACAAAUGUGUAAGUAACUAUGCACGUCUUGACGGUACCUAAUCAGAAAGCCACGGCUAACUACGUGCCAGCAGCCGCGGUAAUACGUAGGUGGCAAGCGUUAUCCGGAAUUAUUGGGCGUAAAGCGCGCGUAGGCGGUUUUUUAAGUCUGAUGUGAAAGCCCACGGCUCAACCGUGGAGGGUCAUUGGAAACUGGAAAACUUGAGUGCAGAAGAGGAAAGUGGAAUUCCAUGUGUAGCGGUGAAAUGCGCAGAGAUAUGGAGGAACACCAGUGGCGAAGGCGACUUUCUGGUCUG
RNAcentral lists this ribosomal RNA (708 nucleotides) under uncultured Staphylococcus sp. RNAcentral's name for it is "bacterial SSU rRNA". It matches the Rfam family "Bacterial small subunit ribosomal RNA", at positions 46 to 736 of the family's 1533-position model. The record is from RNAcentral. Lineage: Bacteria; Bacillati; Bacillota; Bacilli; Caryophanales; Staphylococcaceae.